Ochotona curzoniae (black-lipped pika) is the source of this 2253-nucleotide long non-coding RNA. RefSeq lists it as uncharacterized. The record is from RefSeq and is a predicted model, not a curated record. Lineage: Eukaryota; Metazoa; Chordata; Mammalia; Lagomorpha; Ochotonidae. The transcript is spliced from 2 exons.
GGAGACAGGUGGUCCAGUGUGCUCAGACCCAGAGGAGCUGGAAGACAGGUGGUCCAGUGCGCUCAGACCCAGAGGAGCUGGAAGACAGGUGGUCCAGUGCGCUCAGACCCAGAGGAGCUGGAAGACAGAUCUGGUGCACUCAGCUUUUCUUCUCUGCUUGCACUCAUGUGCGGUCAGAUGCAUCUCUAAGUGAACUGCUUACAGAGGAUGCAGAUGGGCUUGGGGAGCAGCACUGAAGAAGGAAGUGGUUUCUACCAAAAGGUCGCCUCAGGCCGACACAAGCGCAGACCUUUAACAGCCAUCUGUCCCGUGAGAAUUUGUGCUUAGAAUGUUGACCCUCAGUCUCUAAAAGAACUUGAAAGAUGAAAACUGAAAUGAUUUUCUCACACUGCUUCAAAGUCAAAUAUAUUUUCUUAUAUUUUAAUUCCACGAAAAAUCUGUGAAAAUUGAAGAUUGUAGGUUAACUUACCUCGUUUCUGGUUAAGAAAUUUCAGGCUCAGAGACAGAAGUUAGUUCUAGUGCUUAAAAUAUUAGACUACCAGAGUUGCUUCUAUAAAGAAAACACUAUAGACAAUGCACGUUCGGCUGUAGUGCAGACAGCACAUGGCAUGUAUGUCAGAAUGAUUCACCAAAGACGCCUAGCCAAGUAACACACGGAAAAUUCUUUGAGAAGUAACAGUUGUGGAUUUAGGAGUCUAUAAAAGUAUAAGUUCAUAAAUGCACAAGAAUAGCAAAGAGAAACUAUGAUUAAAGGAAAAUCCACCUGUUUAAAAUAUUAAAAUGUUAACAGAACUGAAAUUACUGAGAUAGUAACUCUAGAAAAAACAAAACUAAAAGUCUCAAAAUAGUCAUUUUGUGACUUAGAGUUGGCACACGGCCUGCUUUUAUUAGCAGAACACUGAUCAAAAAUGGCCCUCACAAAAAACCCUGUCCAGACUGUCAGUGCACUUUGUCUCCAAAUUAUCUUUCAAUAAUGUUACUAUGAAGUUUUACAUCAUUAGCCUCUCCAUGCUGUCAUGUGCAUGAUUAAGUGUGGAGUAGAAGCUGGGAUCUUUCCACUGGAAAUUUAAAUUGAAUCACCAACCAUUCCAACAUAAGUAUAUUACAUGAAAGAAAGGGAUAAAAACAUUCCUAAAACAAUCCCCCCAAAUUAAUGUAGGUAAGAUUAUUAGCCUAGUUUUCUCCUCCAAACCUGGAUUUUAAUAAAUUAAUCUAUUAGAACUUUCAUUGCCUAACAAAAUGUUCCUUAAAUUCAGUUUGAUAGUGAUCUUAGUCACCAAAUCAGAAAUCAAUAGCAUGUUGGAUAGAUUUUAUUUUUCAGAGAUGAAGUUACCAAGAUAAAGAAAAGGAUCCCCCAUAAAGCAAGGCUGUUGGGGGCACUAACCAUUUCCUGCCCUGUGAGGCGAUCAGGUUUUUGGAGGGACCUCCUUACAGCCUCUGUCUGGUUGAGAAAUGCACGUUUCCUGUUAAUUCUGUAAUCACCUCUCUUGCCUGACUUCCUCCUUUCUCUCCCUACCAUCCAAGACUCGUCUGUUUGAAAUAGAAUGAGCUAUUGUGUGCAUGCUGUUUAACAAGAACUGAGUUCACUAAAAUGGGUUUAACUAAAUUGUAAAUGCUGAAAUACUUAUCUCUGUUUCUGGCAAAUACUCAUAUACUUUAUCUCAUUGAAAGUAGGUGUAUUUAUCCAGUAAAGAACUAAUGAAAGAUUUUAGUCUUACAGCUUUAUUUAGAAGAAGAAGUCAGCUUUUAAAAAUAGGUGUGGCCACCACGGAAGAGAACUAAUAGGAAUUACUCUGAUUUUAUGAGAAAUGUUUAACAAUCUUUCAACUGUUUAAUAACCUAAUUUUUAAAGAAAGUCUGAGUUACAAAUCAUAGAUACAUGUGGCUAGGCUUAGAUUUCUAAGACGAUUUAAUGUGAAUAAUUUGAUUGCAGUAAGUUGGGACUUAGGGCAUUGAUACCAAAGCAGUUGGCUUUGUCAUGGUAACAGGAAUGCAGGACUGAAAAGUGUGAAGAAAAUAUAAGGAGAAAACACCUAAAGUAUUUGAAGGGGACAAAUAGUAUUUAAGAACAUCCAGAGAAGCUGCAUAGUUCCUAUUUGCCACUUGGUGUUUUGCAUGCACCAGAAGGGGCAGAGCUGGUCAGUGAUGCGUGCCUGUCUCUGAGCCAAACUUCCCAACAUUUGACAUUUGAUUAUGCUGGACUAUCCUGGACUUUAGUAUCAUAAUGAAACUAAGAUUCCCCUGGAAAGACUG